RNAcentral lists this long non-coding RNA (1146 nucleotides) under Pogona vitticeps (central bearded dragon). Its description in RNAcentral is "lncRNA (ENSPVIG00000022793.1)". Lineage: Eukaryota; Metazoa; Chordata; Lepidosauria; Squamata; Agamidae. The record is from RNAcentral.
AUGACCUUCUUCUCCAUGUCCCAACAAAUGCCUUAUCAAAAUUCUAGAAUGUUGCAGGAUGGCCUUCCAAAUUGGAAGAUAAGAACUUUAAAGACUUUUGUUCCCAACUUGAAAUUCUCUUUAUCGAAGAAACCCGGGCAACUUCUAGGGUUCUUUCUCCUCUUCCCUCAGGUCACCGUCCUAAUCAUACUCUUGGGAAGAAGGAUAUAAGCAUAUUGCUUUCAGAGCAAAAUAGGUAAGUACCUACUUUGUAACAUGAUCAUCCCCACAGAUGGAGCUCAUAGCAGGAAAUUCCUCGGCAACUUAGAAUCACUGUUCAGAUUAAUCAAACAUCACUGGGUACUGCAUGUUGUCAUGUGGCUUUUCUUUCCUUUGAGCAAGGUUGGUUUACUAAGUGAUCGCUGAAGUAUGAGGUGUCCUUCAGCUGAAGAACAUGAACUUUUUUNNNNNNNNNNNNNNNNCCCGCCCGUCCUCCCCACUGUCCGUCACUGUAUAUCUGCAGAUCACUUUGCAUAGGCCUGUGGCGGAUAAAUGGAACUGAGGAUUGGGCGGGCGGAGCAUGCGCAGUAUAGACAGUAUUGACAAUGUUUCUCUUUGCAGAGCUCUGGAAUAUUCCGAGAAGACCAGCGCAGGCGCUGACUUAACCCCUUAUUGUGUGAAUUCACAGAAUGACCACUGGAAGAACCAUGGUUACAGGUAAGUAACCCGUCUUUCAGCCUUUUAUUGUUCUCUCUCCUGCAACAGCUAUGUUGUCUGUUGCAGUUAUUUCACUUUGACAGAUGAGAAACUAACACAUAGUUUUUAAUGAUGUUUGCAAAAUUUAACAGUGAUGGGAGUAAAGCCCAAUGCCGCACCCAAGCACCACUGGUGUGCAACUACUCUCAGCAUUGUCCAAGUAGUUCGUUUUUCCAGCUUUGUGGUUUCAUCCCAGUGUUAUUGCAAAAGCAACAUCCAGGUCAUUUCUUGGGGCUUUGGGGCAAGAUUUGACAUGGUCUGCUGAAGAAAUGCAUAACAAUGGAAGUGUUGAAAAUCACUGGAAGGAGUAAUACAGAGGGAGUUCGAGAGAGAGAGAGAGAGAGAGAGAGAGAGAGAGAGAGAGAGUUGGAGGUUGCCAUUUGGAGAAGUAGAAUGGCAAUAAAAAGGGAA